This 496-nucleotide ribosomal RNA is filed under the name uncultured bacterium. Its description in RNAcentral is "bacterial SSU rRNA". It matches the Rfam family "Bacterial small subunit ribosomal RNA", at positions 29 to 518 of the family's 1533-position model. The record is from RNAcentral.
AUGAACGCUAGCGACAGGCCUAACACAUGCAAGUCGAGGGGCAGCGACAAGGAGCAAUCUGAGGUGGCGACCGGCGCACGGGUGAGUAACACGUAUGCAACCUGCCUGUAAGCGGGGAAUAACCCGUUGAAAGACGGACUAAUACCGCAUAAUACUAAAUUACUGCAUGGUAAUUUAUUUAAACAUUUAUGGCUUACAGAUGGGCAUGCGCAUGAUUAGCUAGUUGGAGAGGUAACGGCUCCCCAAGGCAACGAUCAUUAGGGGUUCUGAGAGGAAGGUCCCCCACACUGGUACUGAGACACGGACCAGACUCCUACGGGAGGCAGCAGUGAGGAAUAUUGGUCAAUGGACGAGAGUCUGAACCAGCCAAGUCGCGUGCAGGAAGAAUGUCCCUAUGGAUUGUAAACUGCUUUUGCAGGGGAAUAAAGUGCAUCACGUGUGAUGUUUUGUAUGUACUCUGCGAAUAAGGAUCGGCUAACUCCGUGCCAGCCGCCGC